RNAcentral lists this ribosomal RNA (465 nucleotides) under Vreelandella stevensii. RNAcentral's name for it is "partial 16S ribosomal RNA". It matches the Rfam family "Bacterial small subunit ribosomal RNA", at positions 338 to 795 of the family's 1533-position model. The record is from RNAcentral. Lineage: Bacteria; Pseudomonadati; Pseudomonadota; Gammaproteobacteria; Oceanospirillales; Halomonadaceae.
CCUACGGGGGGCUGCAGUGGGGAAUAUUGGACAAUGGGGGGAACCCUGAUCCAGCCAUGCCGCGUGUGUGAAGAAGGCCCUCGGGUUGUAAAGCACUUUCAGUGAGGAAGAACGCCUGGUGGUUAAUACCCAUCAGGAAAGACAUCACUCACAGAAGAAGCACCGGCUAACUCCGUGCCAGCAGCCGCGGUAAUACGGAGGGUGCGAGCGUUAAUCGGAAUUACUGGGCGUAAAGCGCGCGUAGGUGGCUUGAUAAGCCGGUUGUGAAAGCCCCGGGCUCAACCUGGGAACGGCAUCCGGAACUGUCAAGCUAGAGUGCAGGAGAGGAAGGUAGAGUUCCCGGUGUAGCGGUGAAAUGCGUAGAGAUCGGGAGGAAUACCAGUGGCGAAGGCGGCCUUCUGGACUGACACUGACACUGAGGUGCGAAAGCGUGGGUAGCAAACAGGAUUAGAUACCCCGGUAGUC